UUUGUGUCUAGUUUCUAGAAAGCUAAAGAUAUCGUAUUUUGGAUAUCUAUAGUUAAUGGUAUGGUCGAUUGAAAAUGACUGGUGGAGCUCGUUUUCCAGAAUUUGCUUUCGGGGAGGCUACUUUGGAAGCUCAUAUCUUGUAAUCUAUAAGGAAUCUAAAAAAGUACAACACACGAAAGGUGUAGAUCUUCGUGUCUAGUUUCCAGAAAGCUAAAGAAAUUGCAAUAUGGACAUCUGUAGUGGAGGUUAUGAUCGACGGUAAAUGACUGCUGGAGCAAUAUGAUGUACAACUUGUAUAGUACAAGUGCAAGGUACAACUCGACGAAGCAUGGACAGAUUCUUUUAUUCACGAAUUUUGUUCAUUUCUUUCAUUUGGUUUGGAUGAUUUUGGAGAUAAUUUCAAGGGAGAUUUCAUCAAGCAUUAAAGGUGAGUUGUUUCUACUUAUUUCCAAGUUAAAUACAUGGAUUAGAGCUGAAAACUCAAGUCAUUUAUGGACAAAAAUGGUGGUUAAGGGCUUGAAACUUAAGAGAAUUAAAUGGUGAUUUGAGGGGUCAAAUGAAAUCCGAUUAUUUUAUACGUACGGACUCGUGGCGAGAUGAGGAAUCCGUUAAUGUGACUUUCGUAAUUUUUCGAGAUGUGGGCCCGGGGCUCGGGUUUUGCGAAUUUCAUGAAUUUCGAUAUUUUUCGAGUCUUUUCGAUUGGGUUAUAUCCCCUUAGCCUAUUAUAAUAUAUUCGUUGUGGUUUUGGCCAGAUUCGACGCACGAGGAGGUUGAUAUGAAAGGAAAGCGCAUUGCGGAGUAGUCCUUGGCAGGCUAGAGGUGAAUAAUAGAUGGUUCUGAGAGCUUGAAACCCCGGACUUUCACAUCGUAACGCUAUAUUGAGGCGUGACACACACUCUAUGACAAGUGCAGGGUCGAAUACUAUUGGGGAUCGUGAGUUGGUCCAUCCCGUGUGAUAUUUAUACUAUACUGGUGAUUGAUACACAUACUUUAUUGAUAUUUAUUGGGCUUGAUGACAUGUUUGGGGCCAUGUGCCGACUGGAAAAUCCUUUGGGGAUCGAUAUUACUGCUUUAGCAUGAUUUGCAUAUUAUUUGGUUUCAGUCCAAGGUUUUAAAUAUUGUUUUGCAAACUUAGCUAUAAUUCUAAGUAUCGAAAACUCAAAAGAUAAUUUAAAUGCAUUUCGGGCUGGAAACUUCUAUUUUGUAAAUGCCCAAGGGGCUUACUAUAUUAUUUUCUGGACUGAUAAUAAGGUGACUUGAAACAUAUAAUUCUAAGUAUCGAAAACUCAAAAGAUAAUUUAAAUGCAUUUCGGGCUGGAAACUUCUAUUUUGUAAAUGCCCAAGGGGCUUACUAUAUUAUUUUCUGCACUGAUAAUAAGGUGACUUGAAACAGUGGUAACAAUGACACUGUAUGCUAUACUUGGAACAGUGGUAACAAUGGCACUGUAUAAUAUAAAUUGGUUAGGUAAUAUUGGCUGACCGGUCAGGUAUGACUGACCAGUAUAUUGCGCUUGGGCUGUAGGAGCCCCUCCGGAGUCUGUACACACCCCCAGUGAGCGUCGUCGAUGAUAAAUAAAUACAGAUGACUCGGACUGCACGCCGCAGUGAGUACUGGAAUGUACCAUCAUAUGCAUUAUAUUGCAUUAAUGUAUUUGUAUUAAUAUUUGUUGUUUAACUACUCAGUUCCAUAUGUCGCAGUGUAUUGGAUGUUUAGCUUACUUUGUGUAUUUGCUGUGAUUUCUUAUCUUCAAACUGUAUUUUAUUGUAUUACUCACUGGCUCGAAGUACUCACUUUACUCCCUGCACCUUGUGUGCAGAUCCAGGCAGUCUCAAGCACAGUAGAUCCAGUUGAUCGGCGGAUCCAGCAUUUCGGGAGUAUCAAGGUAGUUGUACCGUGUUCGCAGCAUUGAUUUCUUCCCUCAUAUCCUAUCCUUUUUAUUUCCGUAUUUCCAAAAUUUGGAUACACUAUGUAUCAGGGUAAUAAUCUGUAUUCUAGAGGCUCAUAUUCGUG
This 2011-nucleotide long non-coding RNA is filed under the name Nicotiana benthamiana. RNAcentral describes it as "long non-coding RNA (NBEN_LNC028032)". Lineage: Eukaryota; Viridiplantae; Streptophyta; Magnoliopsida; Solanales; Solanaceae. The record is from RNAcentral.